UAAGUUAGCUUACCAGGUUGGUCCAUCGAGAAAUUGAGGUCAAUUGCAUUGCGGACUUGCUUAGCUAUCUUCUAUAUAGCCUUUGAUGGUUGAGUUAAGAAAACAUUCAUUCACAAAAGCUCAAUGAUGGUCAACGUAAUUCACUAAUCAUCAAAACCAAAUAUGCCAUUAUGGUGUAUGGCUUCUUUAGCUCAAAAAAUAAAUACGAUAGAAAAGAGAAGCGCAUAAAUAAAUGUUUCCAGUGCUAAUAAAAGAGCAUAGCCAUAGAUAAAUCUAGUAUGAACAGCUGAGUAUGCAAAUACUAAGAAAGUCCUUUUCUUAGGAAAGGUUCCACCAUAACUUCUGUCACGAUCAAAACUAUUAAAUUACUAGAGACAAAUGGAAGAUCAAGAAUCAAUCAUUCUAAAUGUGAGCAAACUUUCCAAUGAGAUUCUGAUCCAGGGUAUACCCAAAUAUAGGUUCCCAAGUAUUUGCUGAGCAUGGAAGCCAAGGAAACUAUUAAUCAGACAGCUGAACGGCUAUAAAUUCUUU
Rhododendron vialii is the source of this 531-nucleotide long non-coding RNA. RefSeq lists it as uncharacterized. The record is from RefSeq and is a predicted model, not a curated record. Lineage: Eukaryota; Viridiplantae; Streptophyta; Magnoliopsida; Ericales; Ericaceae. The transcript is spliced from 2 exons.